GACGAACGCUGGCGGCGUGCUUAACACAUGCAAGUCGAACGGAAAGGCCCUGCUUUUGUGGGGUGCUCGAGUGGCGAACGGGUGAGUAACACGUGAGUAACCUGCCCUUGACUUUGGGAUAACUUCAGGAAACUGGGGCUAAUACCGGAUAGGAGCUCCUGCUGCAUGGUGGUGGUUGGAAAGUUUCGGCGGUUGGGGAUGGACUCGCGGCUUAUCAGCUUGUUGGUGGGGUAGUGGCUUACCAAGGCUUUGACGGGUAGCCGGCCUGAGAGGGUGACCGGCCACAUUGGGACUGAGAUACGGCCCAGACUCCUACGGGAGGCAGCAGUGGGGAAUAUUGCACAAUGAGCGGAAGCCUGAUGCAGAAACGCCGCGUGCGGGAUGACGGCCUUCGGGUUGUAAACCGCUUUCGCCUGUGACGAAGCGUGAGUGACGGUAAUGGGUAAAGAAGCACCGGCUAACUACGUG
This 468-nucleotide ribosomal RNA is filed under the name uncultured bacterium. Its description in RNAcentral is "partial 16S ribosomal RNA". It matches the Rfam family "Bacterial small subunit ribosomal RNA", at positions 28 to 507 of the family's 1533-position model. The record is from RNAcentral.